GGUAAGGUGGCUGAAUUUUUAGGUGAUAGACUGUAAAUCUAUUUAUGGGUGUUGACCCCUCUUACCA
This 67-nucleotide transfer RNA is filed under the name Tuarega ouarzazatensis. Its description in RNAcentral is "tRNA-Tyr". It matches the Rfam family "tRNA". From Rfam's summary of the family: Transfer RNA (tRNA) molecules are approximately 80 nucleotides in length. Their secondary structure includes four short double-helical elements and three loops (D, anti-codon, and T loops). Lineage: Eukaryota; Metazoa; Arthropoda; Insecta; Orthoptera; Pamphagidae. The record is from RNAcentral.